This 1169-nucleotide long non-coding RNA is filed under the name Homo sapiens (human). Its description in RNAcentral is "non-protein coding lnc-RPS29-6:1". The record is from RNAcentral. Lineage: Eukaryota; Metazoa; Chordata; Mammalia; Primates; Hominidae.
AGCAGGUGGAAAUCCCAGUCUUUGGACAACCUAAUCUUGGAAGUGAUAUUUCUAUCACUUCUUCCAUAUUCUAAUCAAUAUAUGUGACCCAGUAAGUUCAGUCCACACUCAGAGGGAAAUUAAACUCUACCUUUUAAGGAGAGGCAUAUCAAAGAAUUUAUGGACAUAUGUUUAAAACAAUCACAUUAAAUAAUUAUUUACAGUUUUCUGAGACAGGGUCUUGCUCUGUCACCCAGCUGGAGUGCAGUGGCAUGAUCAUGGCUUGCUGCACCCACAACCUCCUUGGCUCAAGCGAUUCUCCCACCUCAGCCUCCCUAGUAGCCAGGAGCAUAGGUACACACUAUGGUGCCCUGCUAAUUACAAUUUUUUUUCUUUUGUAGAGACAGGAUCUUGCCAUGUUGCCCGGGCUAGUCUCAAACUCCUGGGCUAAAGUGAUCCUCCCACCUCAGCCCCCCAAAGCGCUGGGAUUACUACAGAGAAGAUUUGUGAAGCUGUGUGACCUGCCUCCUUGCAACUGCCAGAGCUGCUCAAAGCUCCAAGAUUCCCUGCUGGGCAGCCACAUACCUGCCAAAGCAUUGUGUUCAAGGCUCUCAAGAAACCAGCCAUGAAAAGCUUCCCACUUCAGGAAAAAUCCCUUGCUUGACUUAUUCAGAGAUCAUGGAGGCCAAUACAACUGCAGACCAGAGAAAAAAAAUCUGGCUUUGUUGCUGUUAAAACUCAAUUCAAAGACUCAGGCUCCUUGAGAUCCCUGCAGGGUGAUUUUACUAUUUUCCCAGAGGUAACCCAAUUGGAGUCUAUCUGACUGUGCCAGUCCAGAUAUUCAUAUUUUGUCUUUUUCCUCUGUCUUAUCACUGGGGGAAACAGCUUGGAAUUUAGGUUCAUGAAUACAACCUCCUUACUGUUUUGCUUUUUUUCCCUAGUGUCUCAAAUCUUUUCCUGCUUCCCAUCCUCUCCUCAGUUGUCAGUGUGAUUUUCCUACAUUUGGAUGGAUGUUUUCUUCCUAUUUCCCAUACACAGCACUUGGCCAAGAACAUAAAGGGGAGAUGUGGGCUACUGGGCCUGGGGGAAAAACUAUAACAUGUAGUUCCUCUUGCUCAAACUUUAGGGCUCUGUAAUACCAACCUUCUUCAUUCCAUUAGGCAAAGCUCUAAGCCUAUUUUCAGUUUCAG